AGUCAGUCAGAACUUAAUAACAAUAGAUAGUGUCACUGAAGUUGAUAUACAACCUCCACUGCCAAGUUUGACUGGCUUAAA
This 81-nucleotide small RNA is filed under the name Otolemur garnettii (small-eared galago). Its description in RNAcentral is "Y RNA (ENSOGAG00000021611.1)". The record is from RNAcentral. Lineage: Eukaryota; Metazoa; Chordata; Mammalia; Primates; Galagidae.